This 494-nucleotide ribosomal RNA is filed under the name uncultured bacterium. Its description in RNAcentral is "partial 16S ribosomal RNA". It matches the Rfam family "Bacterial small subunit ribosomal RNA", at positions 28 to 504 of the family's 1533-position model. The record is from RNAcentral.
GAUGAACGCUGGCGGCGUGCCUAAUACAUGCAAGUCGAGCGAACAGACGAGGAGCUUGCUCCUCUGACGUUAGCGGCGGACGGGUGAGUAACACGUGGAUAACCUACCUAUAAGACUGGGAUAACUUCGGGAAACCGGAGCUAAUACCGGAUAAUAUAUUGAACCGCAUGGUUCAAUAGUGAAAGACGGUUUUGCUGUCACUUAUAGAUGGAUCCGCGCCGCAUUAGCUAGUUGGUAAGGUAACGGCUUACCAAGGCAACGAUGCGUAGCCGACCUGAGAGGGUGAUCGGCCACACUGGAACUGAGACACGGUCCAGACUCCUACGGGAGGCAGCAGUAGGGAAUCUUCCGCAAUGGGCGAAAGCCUGACGGAGCAACGCCGCGUGAGUGAUGAAGGUCUUCGGAUCGUAAAACUCUGUUAUUAGGGAAGAACAAAUGUGUAAGUAACUAUGCACGUCUUGACGGUACCUAACCAGAAAGCCACGGCUAACUAC